GAUGAAGAACGCAGCGAAAUGCGAUACGUAAUGUGAAUUGCAGAAUUCAGUGAAUCAUCGAAUCUUUGAACGCAUAUUGCGCUCUUUGGUAUUCCGAAGAGCAUGCUUGUUUGAGUAUCAGUAAACACCUCAAAGCUUUUGGAUUUUUUAAUCGAAAAGCUUUGGACUUGAGCAAUCCCAACACCAAUCUUUUUGAGAUCGGUGGCGGGUUGCUUGAAAUGCAGGUGCAGCUGGACAUUCUCCUGAGCUAAAAGCAUAUUCAUUUAGUCCCGUCAAACGGAUGAUUACUUUUGCUGCAGCUAACAUAAAGGGAGUUUGACCGUAUUGGCUGACUGAUGCAGGAUUUCACAAGGGUCGGCAACGAUUCUUGUUAAACUCGAUCUCAAAUCAAGUAAGACUACCCGCUGAACUUAAGCAUAUCAAUAAGCGGAGGA
Molecule: unclassified non-coding RNA, 434 nt
Filed under: soil metagenome
Description: partial contains 5.8S ribosomal RNA, internal transcribed spacer 2, and large subunit ribosomal RNA
Rfam family: 5.8S ribosomal RNA (bases 1-120)
Source: RNAcentral